Molecule: ribosomal RNA, 305 nt
Filed under: uncultured bacterium
Lineage: Bacteria
Description: bacterial SSU rRNA
Rfam family: Bacterial small subunit ribosomal RNA
Source: RNAcentral
GCCUACGGGGGGCAGCAGUGGGGAAUAUUGCACAAUGGGGGAAACCCUGAUGCAGCGACGCCGCGUGAGUGAAGAAGUAUCUCGGUAUGUAAAGCUCUAUCAGCAGGAAAGAUAAUGACGGUACCUGACUAAGAAGCCCCGGCUAACUACGUGCCAGCAGCCGCGGUAAUACGUAGGGGGCAAGCGUUAUCCGGAUUUACUGGGUGUAAAGGGAGCGUAGACGGCAGCGCAAGUCUGGAGUGAAAUGCCGGGGCUCAACCCCGGAACUGCUUUGGACACUGUCCAGCUGGAGUGCAGGAGAGCUA